This 136-nucleotide ribosomal RNA is filed under the name uncultured bacterium. Its description in RNAcentral is "partial 16S ribosomal RNA". The record is from RNAcentral.
UACGGAAGGCAGCAGUAAGGAAUAUUGGUCAAUGGACCAUAACCUAACCCAGCCAAGUAGCGUACAGAAAUUCGGCCCUAUGGGUUGUAUGCUGCUUUUAUAGAGGAAUAAAGUGAGCCACGUGUGGUUUUUUGCA